CGAUUUGAAACGGAUGCACUGGCAGCAGACAGCAGCGAGACCGAUCACAAAACCUGAAGAUCCUCCAUAAAAGUCCCCGUCAGAGACGAACGCCGAACACACAAAAAUCAAAGUCGUAGCCGAAGCAGAAGCCGAAGCCGUGCGAAUGUCUGUCGUCGGUUCAGGUGUACGAAUAAGAAGCUCCCAGAGCCACCUUGGCCGCCGCUACGAGUAUCUUCAUCGGUCGCGCUGGUCGUUUAAAAGUGAAAUUUACUGAAUGAAAUGAAAUGAAAUGUUUUCUUGAAAGCCCCAUCCUCAGUGCCCGAGUCCGAGCCCGGCCAAUUGUGUAUGGUGAAUCGUGUUUGUGUGUUUGAUUAUUGAUUUGUGACAAU
Molecule: long non-coding RNA, 371 nt
Filed under: Drosophila guanche
Lineage: Eukaryota; Metazoa; Arthropoda; Insecta; Diptera; Drosophilidae
Source: RNAcentral